This 134-nucleotide transfer RNA is filed under the name Nostoc sp. RNAcentral describes it as "tRNA-OTHER". It matches the Rfam family "tRNA". From Rfam's summary of the family: Transfer RNA (tRNA) molecules are approximately 80 nucleotides in length. Their secondary structure includes four short double-helical elements and three loops (D, anti-codon, and T loops). Lineage: Bacteria; Bacillati; Cyanobacteriota; Cyanophyceae; Nostocales; Nostocaceae. The record is from RNAcentral. RNAcentral also lists the same sequence under 1 other name.
GUAGCGGAUAGCUCAAAUGGCAGAGCGCCCACCUUGCCCGGAAAGGCCGACAUAUCGAGGGUUAUCGCAUAUAACUAAAACACCCUUGAUCAAACUUCUGGAGGUGCAGGUAAAAAUCCUGUUCCGCUACACCA